UAGGGAAUAUUGGACAAUGGGGGCAACCCUGAUCCAGCCAUGCCGCGUGAGUGAAGAAGGCCCUCGGGUUGUAAAGCUCUUUUGUCCGGAAAGAAAAGCAUUCGGUGAAUACCCUGAUGUUCUGACGGUACCGGAAGAAUAAGCACCGGCUAACUUCGUGCCAGCAGCCGCGGUAAUACGAAGGGUGCAAGCGUUACUCGGAAUUACUGGGCGUAAAGCGUGCGUAGGUGGUUGUUUAAGUCUGAUGUGAAAGCCCUGGGCUCAACCUGGCAGUGGCAAUGGAAACUGGGCAGCUAGAGUGCGGUAGAGGGUAGUGGAAGUCCCGGUGUAGCAGUGAAAUGCGUAGAGAUCGGGAGGAACAUCUGUGGCAAAGGCGACUGCCU
RNAcentral lists this ribosomal RNA (383 nucleotides) under uncultured bacterium. Its description in RNAcentral is "bacterial SSU rRNA". It matches the Rfam family "Bacterial small subunit ribosomal RNA", at positions 355 to 730 of the family's 1533-position model. The record is from RNAcentral.